This is a small nucleolar RNA of Pseudophryne corroboree (corroboree frog), 212 nucleotides long. RefSeq annotates it as small nucleolar RNA U3. NCBI's taxonomy places the organism in Eukaryota, Metazoa, Chordata, Amphibia, Anura, Myobatrachidae. The record is from RefSeq and is a predicted model, not a curated record. The transcript has a single exon.
AAGGUUAUACUUACAGGGAUCAUUUCUAUAGGCAAUCAUGGGAGAAAUGUGCUUGAAAGCGUUAAAACUUGGCAACCACCAUGAUGAGUUUAAGAGCUCUCUUCUCAGCAUGAAGGUAGUUAGCAACUCUGUUCAUGCAGAUGUUGUUAGCUUUUGAUGACUGUCCUAUGUCUUAAUAAAGAAGUGGUAGAAGAGUGCUCAUUCAGAGUGGC